Molecule: ribosomal RNA, 468 nt
Filed under: uncultured bacterium
Lineage: Bacteria
Description: partial 16S ribosomal RNA
Rfam family: Bacterial small subunit ribosomal RNA
Source: RNAcentral
GACGAACGCUGGCGGCGUGCUUAACACAUGCAAGUCGAACGGAAAGGCCCUGCUUUUGUGGGGUGCUCGAUUGGCGAACGGGUGAGUAACACGUGAGUAACCUGCCCUUGACUUUGGGGUAACUUCAGGAAACUGGGGCUAAUACCGGAUAGGAGCUCCUGCUGCAUGGUGGGGGUUGGAAAGUUUGGGCGGUUGUGGCUGGACUCGCUGCUUAUCAGCUUGUUGGUGGGGUAGUUGCUGACCAAGGGUUUGACGGGUAGGCUGCCUGGGAGGGUGACCGGCGACAUUGGGACUAAGGGAGGGCCCAGAAGGCUACGGGAGGCAGCAGUGGGAAAUAUUGCAGAAUGGGCGGACGCGUGAGGCAGAAACGCUGCGUGCGGGAUGAUGUGCUUCGAGUUGUAAACAGAUUUCGAAUGUGACGAAGCGUGCGUGACGGUAAUGGGUAAAGAAGCACCGGCUAACUACGUG